This 407-nucleotide ribosomal RNA is filed under the name uncultured bacterium. RNAcentral describes it as "partial 16S ribosomal RNA". It matches the Rfam family "Bacterial small subunit ribosomal RNA", at positions 28 to 526 of the family's 1533-position model. The record is from RNAcentral.
GACGAACGCUGGCGGCGUGCCUAAUACAUGCAAGUAGAACGCAGUUGCGAGCGGGUAAGUACCGCGUAGGUACCGGCAUCGUGGCGGGGGAUCACUAUUGGGACCGAUAUCUCAUACCGCCUACUUUGGUAUGAUCCUCCGUUGUAUUAGUUAGUUGGUGAGGUAAAGGCUCAACAAGGCGACGAUACAUAGCCGACCUGAGAGGGGGAUCGACAACAAGGGGAAUGAGAGACGGCUCAGACUCCUACGGGAGGCAGCAGUAGGGAAUCUGCGGAAAUGGACGGAAGUCUGACCGAGCAAAGCCGCGGGAGUGAAGAAGGUUUUCGGAUCGUAAAGCUCUGUGGUUAGAGAAGCGUUAACUAACCAGAAAGGGACGGCUAACUACGUGCCAGCAGCCGCGGUAAUUC